Molecule: ribosomal RNA, 427 nt
Filed under: uncultured bacterium
Lineage: Bacteria
Description: bacterial SSU rRNA
Rfam family: Bacterial small subunit ribosomal RNA
Source: RNAcentral
UGGGGAAUCUUGCGCAAUGGGCGAAAGCCUGACGCAGCGACGCCGCGUGAGUGAUGAAGGCCUUCGGGUUGUAAAGCUCUGUGGAGGGGGACGAAUAAGUGGGUGCGAAUAGCAUUCAUGAUGACGGUACCCUUUUAGCAAGCACCGGCUAACUCUGUGCCAGCAGCCGCGGUAAGACAGAGGGUGCAAACGUUGUUCGGAAUUACUGGGCGUAAAGCGCGUGUAGGCUGCCUCGCAAGUCGGAUGUGAAAGCCCUGGGCUCAACCUAGGAAGUGCAUUCGAUACUGCGAGGCUGGAGUCCUGGAGAGGAAGGCGGAAUUCUCGGUGUAGAGGUGAAAUUCGUAGAUAUCGAGAGGAACACCGGUGGCGAAGGCGGCCUUCUGGACAGUGACUGACGCUGAGACGCGAAAGCGUGGGGAGCAAACAG